This 520-nucleotide unclassified non-coding RNA is filed under the name uncultured Glomus. Its description in RNAcentral is "SSU rRNA". It matches the Rfam family "Eukaryotic small subunit ribosomal RNA", at positions 569 to 1092 of the family's 1831-position model. Lineage: Eukaryota; Fungi; Glomeromycota; Glomeromycetes; Glomerales; Glomeraceae. The record is from RNAcentral.
CGCAGCCGCGGUAAUUCCAGCUCCAAUAGCGUAUAUUAAAGUUGUUGCAGUUAAAAAGCUCGUAGUUGAAUUUCGGGGUUAGUAGGUUGGUCAUGCCUCUGGUAUGUACUGGUCUCACUGAUUCCUCCUUCCUGAUGAGCCGUAAUGCCAUUAAUUUGGUGUUGCGGGGAAUUUGGACUGUUACUUUGAAAAAUUAGAGUGUUUAAAGCAAGCUAACGCUUGAAUACAUUAGCAUGGAAUAAUGAAAUAGGACGUUCGAUCCUAUUUUGUUGGUUUCUAGGAUUGACGUAAUGAUUAAUAGGGAUAGUUGGGGGCAUUAGUAUUCAAUUGUCAGAGGUGAAAUUCUUGGAUUUAUUGAAGACUAACUACUGCGAAAGCAUUUGCCAAGGAUGUUUUCAUUAAUCAAGAACGAAAGUUAGGGGAUCGAAGACGAUCAGAUACCGUCGUAGUCUUAACCAUAAACUAUGCCGACUAGGGAUCGGAUGAUGUUAAUUUUUAAUGACUCAUUCGGCGCCUUACG